CAGUAGCCGCGGUAAUACAAGGGGGGCAAGCGUUGUUCGGAAUUAUUGGGCGUAAGGGGUGCGUAGGCGGUUUGGCAAGUUUCGUGUGAAAACUUCGGGCUCAACCCGAAGCCUGCACGGAAAACUGCCGGGCUUGAGUAUGGGAGAGGUGAGUGGAAUUUCCGGUGUAGCGGUGAAAUGCGUAGAUAUCGGAAGGAACACCUGUGGCGAAAGCGGCUCACUGGACCAUAACUGACGCUGAGGCACGAAAGCUAGGGGAGCAAACAGGAUUAGAGACCCCCGUAGUCCCUGUCUCUUAUAC
This 301-nucleotide ribosomal RNA is filed under the name uncultured bacterium. RNAcentral's name for it is "partial 16S ribosomal RNA". It matches the Rfam family "Bacterial small subunit ribosomal RNA", at positions 509 to 807 of the family's 1533-position model. The record is from RNAcentral.